AUUGAACGCUGGCGGCAGGCCUAACACAUGCAAGUCGAACGAGUGGCGGACGGGUGAGUAAUGUCUGGUAAACUGCCCGAUGGAGGGGGAUAACUACUGGAAACGGUAGCUAAUACCGCAUACCAUCGGAUGUGCCCAGAUGGGAUUAGCUAGUAGGUGGGGUAACGGCUCACCUAGGCGACGAUACCUAGCUGGUCUGAGAGGAAGACCAGCCACACUGGUACUGAGAGACGGUCCAGACUCCGACGGGAGGCAGCAUGGGGGAAUAUUGAACAAUGGGCGUAAGAAGGAUGCAGCCAUGCCGGGUAUAUGAAGAAGGCCUUCGGGUUUUAAAGUACUUUCAGCGAGGAGUCGUUAAUCGCAGAAGAAGCACCGGCGAACUCCGUGCCAGCAGCAGCGGUAAUUC
This 406-nucleotide ribosomal RNA is filed under the name uncultured bacterium. Its description in RNAcentral is "partial 16S ribosomal RNA". It matches the Rfam family "Bacterial small subunit ribosomal RNA", at positions 30 to 526 of the family's 1533-position model. The record is from RNAcentral.